GCCGAAGAAAAAGGGGGAAACAAGGGUCAGGCACGUGGUUCACAGAGCGCAUGAGAUACGAGCAAAUUAGGCAAAGAACUCCCCGAGCAUUGGAACCCCUUGAGGAAGACCUGACUAAAAGCCUUUGGGCCUC
This is a long non-coding RNA of Myotis brandtii (Brandt's bat), 133 nucleotides long. RefSeq lists it as uncharacterized. The transcript has 4 exons. The record is from RefSeq and is a predicted model, not a curated record. NCBI's taxonomy places the organism in Eukaryota, Metazoa, Chordata, Mammalia, Chiroptera, Vespertilionidae.